AAGUCGUAACAAGGUAUCCGUAGGUGAACCUGCGGAUGGAUCAUUAAAACCAAAAACAGCUAACGUGCUUCAAACACACGUUACUAACCCAAACCUGUGCACCCAUUUCACAACACUUGGCGAGUGAUAGUUGUUGACCGGGGUCGAGCCGCGUUUCCCUCGUGGGAGAGCGUGUGCUGGGUCUUCAUUGGUGAGAAGAAGGCCUCAUGACUUGUCACAGCUGCGACUCACUUGCUCAAAUGUUUUUUCUUUAAUUCUCGCCACUUUUUUUAACCCAUUGAACUAAUUUAUUCUUUCUUUAGUUGUACUAAACGUUUUCGAACACUGUUUGAACACGACUUCUGUCGUUCCAAACUGGAAUAAGAAACGCAAGAACAACUCUUAGCAACGGAUAUCUAGGUUCUC
Molecule: unclassified non-coding RNA, 405 nt
Filed under: fungal sp.
Lineage: Eukaryota; Fungi
Description: partial internal transcribed spacer region
Rfam family: Eukaryotic small subunit ribosomal RNA (bases 1-46)
Source: RNAcentral